AUUUAAAUAGUUUAAUUAAAAUAUUAGAGUGUGGAUCUAAAGAUAUAAGAGUAGUAUUUUAAAUU
Molecule: transfer RNA, 65 nt
Filed under: Vespa ducalis
Lineage: Eukaryota; Metazoa; Arthropoda; Insecta; Hymenoptera; Vespidae
Description: tRNA-His
Source: RNAcentral